CCUACGGGAGGCAGCAGUGGGGAAUCUUGCGCAAUGCGCGAAAGCGUGACGCAGCAACGCCGCGUGGGGGAAGAAGGCCUUCGGGUUGUAAACCCCUUUCAGGAGGGACGAAGGUUCGGCGGUGAAUAGCCGACCGGACUGACGGUACCUCCACAAGAAGCCCCGGCUAACUACGUGCCAGCAGCCGCGGUAAU
RNAcentral lists this ribosomal RNA (194 nucleotides) under uncultured Thermoleophilum sp. RNAcentral's name for it is "partial 16S ribosomal RNA". It matches the Rfam family "Bacterial small subunit ribosomal RNA", at positions 338 to 524 of the family's 1533-position model. Lineage: Bacteria; Bacillati; Actinomycetota; Thermoleophilia; Thermoleophilales; Thermoleophilaceae. The record is from RNAcentral.